Molecule: ribosomal RNA, 415 nt
Filed under: uncultured bacterium
Lineage: Bacteria
Description: bacterial SSU rRNA
Rfam family: Bacterial small subunit ribosomal RNA
Source: RNAcentral
UCAGGCCUAACACAUGCAAGUCGAGCGAUGAAGCACCUUCGGGUGUGGAUUAGCGGCGAACGGGUGAGGAACACGUGAGUAAUCUGCCUUCCACUCUGGGAUAACUCCGGGAAACCGGGGCUAAUACCGGAUACUUUCAACUGGCGGCAUCGCCGGUUGAAGAAAGUUUUUCGGUGGAAGAUGACCUCGCGGCCUAUCAGCUUGUUGGUGAGGUAAUGGCUCACCAAGGCGACAACGGGUAGCCGGCCUGAGAGGGCGACCGGCCACACUGGGACUGAGACACGGCCCAGACUCCUACGGGAGGCAGAAGUGGGGAAUAUUGGGCAAUGGAGGAAACUCUGACCCAGCGACGCCGCGUGAGGGAUGAAGGCCUUCGGGUUGUAAACCUCUUUCAGCAGGGAAUAAGCGAAAGGAA